This 69-nucleotide transfer RNA is filed under the name Glanycus foochowensis. Its description in RNAcentral is "tRNA-Leu". Lineage: Eukaryota; Metazoa; Arthropoda; Insecta; Lepidoptera; Thyrididae. The record is from RNAcentral.
ACUAUUUUGGCAGAAAAAUGUAAUGAUUUUAGAAAUCAUAAAUAUAUAGAAUUUACUAUAUAUAUAGUA